Molecule: long non-coding RNA, 204 nt
Filed under: Elaeis guineensis (African oil palm)
Lineage: Eukaryota; Viridiplantae; Streptophyta; Magnoliopsida; Arecales; Arecaceae
Description: long non-coding RNA (EGUI_LNC016666)
Source: RNAcentral
GCCGAUAUGAUCCAAAAAAAUAUUCAUGAUCUAGAUAAUAAUCUAUUGCCACAUGUCCAGAUAGUGAGGUCAAAUAACAUAUAUCAACACAUGCCCCCCACUUUUUAGAUAAAGAUGAAAUUCUUCACAUCAAUCGUGGAAAGUCUCUUCAGAAGAUCUUAUCUCAUGACUUGUAUUGUCGUCAUAAAUAUUUCAUACCACUGA